AGCGAACGCUGGCGGCAGGCCUAACACAUGCAAGUCGAACGAACCUUUCGGGGUUAGUGGCGGACGGGUGAGUAACACGUGGGAACGUGCCUUUAGGUUCGGAAUAACUCAGGGAAACUUGUGCUAAUACCGAAUGUGCCCUUCGGGGGAAAGAUUAAUCGCCUUUGGAGCGGCCGGCGUCUGAUUAGCUAGUUGGUUGAGGUAAUGGCUCGCCACGGGGACGUUCAGUAGCUGGUCUGCGAGGAUGUUUAGGCAAAUUGGGAAUGAGACACGGCCCAAACCCCUACGGGAGGGAGCAGUAGGGAAUCUUGCGCAAGGGGCGAAAGCCUGACGCAGCCAUGCCGCGGGAAUGAUGAAGGUCGUAGGAUUGUAAAAUUCUUUCACCGGGAGCGAUAAUGACGGUACCCGGAGAAGAAGCCCCGGCUAACUUCGUG
RNAcentral lists this ribosomal RNA (434 nucleotides) under uncultured bacterium. RNAcentral describes it as "partial 16S ribosomal RNA". It matches the Rfam family "Bacterial small subunit ribosomal RNA", at positions 29 to 507 of the family's 1533-position model. The record is from RNAcentral.